UUUUAGCCCCGAUUGAACGGCAUGUUUGAGCUCUUUUGAUCUUUUUGGCGGCGGCUUUGCCGCCGCCAAAAAGAUCAAAAAGCGAGUAGUGAAAGCGGGAUUAAGC
RNAcentral lists this unclassified non-coding RNA (106 nucleotides) under Chryseobacterium balustinum. RNAcentral's name for it is "Flavo-1 RNA". The record is from RNAcentral. Lineage: Bacteria; Pseudomonadati; Bacteroidota; Flavobacteriia; Flavobacteriales; Weeksellaceae.